UACGAAGGGGGCUAGCGUUGCUCGGAAUCACUGGGCGUAAAGGGUGCGUAGGCGGGUUUUUAAGUCAGAGGGGAAAUCCUGGAGCUCAACUCCAGAACUGCCUUUGAUACUGAGAAUCUUGAGUUCGGGAGAGGUGAGUGGAACUGCGAGUGUAGAGGUGAAAUUCGUAGAUAUUCGCAAGAACACCAGUGGCGAAGGCGGCUCACUGGCCCGAUACUGACGCUGAGGCACGAAAGCGUGGGGAGCAAACAGG
This 253-nucleotide ribosomal RNA is filed under the name uncultured bacterium. RNAcentral describes it as "partial 16S ribosomal RNA". It matches the Rfam family "Bacterial small subunit ribosomal RNA", at positions 524 to 776 of the family's 1533-position model. The record is from RNAcentral.